CGCUUCCCUGUGAACUCCCACAACUUCAUCAAAGAGGAAUGAGGGGACCAAGGGAGAGCAGCGGGGGGGAAAAAGGGAGAGAAAGAGCUCUAUUUUCCUAAUCACAUCCCCAUGGGAUUUGAGCUGCAGAGGUGUGGUUUCAGACUGGGAGAGCAGGUUUCCCUGGUUACCUGGGCGGAGUCUGGUGGCUGCCUGCUGUCACACCUAUACUGUAUUUACGAUCGUCAGGAACCCCUCUUAAGGAACAGCAGGAGCACCAGUCUUCGCCAGAUCGUUUUGCCUUCCUAGUGGUAACUUGGCCACCUCUCACCCGAGAUUGAUUUUCAAAGGAAAGAGUUUUUUGUUGCAUUGACUUUUUUUUCGUGUUUCAGUCCCAUCCCAGCCUGCUUCGCCGGAACCUGACGGAUUCCCCGGCUUCCCCUCUCGCCCUCCGCGGCUUGGGAGAACUCCUCAAGCCAGUCGGAUCAUUACCUCUCCCUCCAGCGUGGAUUCUAUCUACCGCACCGCUCCUGCCGCCAGCUCCAGGAACACCACUCCCUUCCACCACAAUGUGCGAGAAUGACAUGUUAACCUAUUGCAUUCGACUGUCUUCCACUUUGUCUGAUGUAAGAAAACAGGUUGUAGCUGCACUUCCGAGAGAAGCAACGGGUCCACUACACCGACUGCAACCAGGUGACUUCGUGGUGGUGAAGGACUUCAGGAGGAAAAGUUGGAAAGCUAAACGGUGGCAGGGUCCAUUCCAGAUUCUCCUGGUCACCCAAACAGCGGUCAAGGUACCUGAAAGGGCGACUUGGGUCCACGCAUCCCAUUGCAAGAAGGUUCCAGAUCCAGUACCAGCAGUGGGCUCAGGCGACCCUACCUCCACAACAAGUGUCAAUCAACCGACACCACCGAUCCAGUGACCACGGACAGGCAGUUGACCGACAGACACACAGUGCAUUGUGAUCUGUGUUGACUGUCUACAACACGGGUGCCUCACAAGAAAGAAGGUUGGCAGACUCCACAUCCCAACGUGUACCUGCGGACCAACACAAGAAGAAGAACACGGCCAGGACCCCUCCACAUAGACACAGUAGUCGUUUGUGCCACGACAGUUUUUUAGGGAGUUUUUGUUCUGUGGCAGGCAAAGUUUUGUGAGCGAUGUUCAGAUGUUCAUGUUUGUGAUAUUUGAUGGAUGAACUAUUUAAGUCUCUCUGCUG
Molecule: long non-coding RNA, 1199 nt
Organism: Gasterosteus aculeatus aculeatus (three-spined stickleback)
Lineage: Eukaryota; Metazoa; Chordata; Actinopteri; Perciformes; Gasterosteidae
Source: Ensembl